AGAGUUUGAUCAUGGCUCAGGAUGAAUGCUGGCGGCGUGCCUAACACAUGCAAGUCGAGCGGCAGCGAGGGGUGCUUGCACCCUGUCGGCGAGCGGCGAACGGCUGAGUAACGCGUAGGAAUUUGCCCCAAAGUGAGGAAUAACUGCCCGAAAGGGUAGCUAAUGCCGCAUAUGGUCUUCGGAUUAAAGGAUUUAUCCGCUUUGGGAGAAGCCUGCGUUGGAUUAGGUUGUUGGUAGGGUAAUGGCCUACCAAGCCGACGAUCCAUAGCUGGUCUGAGAGGAUGAUCAGCCAGACUGGAACUGAGACACGGUCCAGACUCCUACGGGAGGCAGCAGUGAGGAAUCUUCCACAAUGGGCGAAAGCCUGAUGGAGCAACGCCGCGUGAAGGAUGAAGGCCUUCGGGUUGUAAACUUCUUUUAUGAGUGAAGAAUAUGACGGUAACUCAUGAAUAAGCACCGGCUAACUACGUGCCAGCAGCCGCGGUCAUACGUAGGGUGCAAGCAUUAUCCGGAGUGACUGGGCGUAAAGAGUUGCGUAGGCGGUUUAAUAAGUGAAUAGUGAAACCUGGUGGCUCAACCAUACAGACUAUUAUUCAAACUGUUAAACUCGAGAAUGGUAGAGGUAACUGGAAUUUCUUGUGUAGGAGUGAAAUCCGUAGAUAUAAGAAGGAACACCAAUGGCGUAGGCAGGUUACUGGGCCAUUUCUGACGCUAAGGCACGAAAGCGUGGGGAGCGAACCGGAUUAGAUACCCCGGUAGUCCAA
RNAcentral lists this ribosomal RNA (764 nucleotides) under uncultured bacterium. Its description in RNAcentral is "bacterial SSU rRNA". It matches the Rfam family "Bacterial small subunit ribosomal RNA", at positions 8 to 798 of the family's 1533-position model. The record is from RNAcentral.